CGGGUUAGAUGCUAUGGUAGAUCGGUGACGACAAGCUCUCUGAAAAAAGAUGAAGAAAUCACCAAGCUUAAACAAAAGCAUGCCAAUGAAAUAACUUCUCUGAAGGAAGAAAUGAAGGAAAUGAUGAGAGAAGAAAUGCGAUGUUUUUUUAGUCAAAUGGUGAAAAACAACCCUGGACUGGAUUUUCAUGAUAUACAAGGGUGUGUUGGAUCUAAUAUUCCUUCACCAAUUGAUGCAAGUAGUGCACGAGCUAUGAGAGGCCAAAAUCUACCACAUUCUUCUGGCUCAACUCACGCCCCAAGUCUUGAAAAGGAAAAUACGGGUGAUGCAAUUGGAUAUGGUGGUCACAAAUCAAUUUGAUUCAUUAAAGUGAAUGGUGAAGACCUUUUGAACAAUUGGGAUGUUUAUUUUUAUUGAUUCUAUAAAUAUGAAUACAUUUGGUUUUGUAGAGGUCUUUGCUAGUGAACUCUUGAACCAACAGUGCUUUAUUACUAUAGACAGUACACAAAGUAUGUUUCUUUGUUGAAAUUUAUUUUAAGUAUAUGCAUUUGAAUUAUUUUUAUUC
Molecule: long non-coding RNA, 565 nt
Organism: Nicotiana attenuata
Lineage: Eukaryota; Viridiplantae; Streptophyta; Magnoliopsida; Solanales; Solanaceae
Exons: 2
Source: RefSeq, a predicted model, not a curated record